This 373-nucleotide ribosomal RNA is filed under the name Snodgrassella alvi. RNAcentral's name for it is "bacterial LSU rRNA". It matches the Rfam family "Bacterial large subunit ribosomal RNA", at positions 2560 to 2925 of the family's 2925-position model. The record is from RNAcentral. Lineage: Bacteria; Pseudomonadati; Pseudomonadota; Betaproteobacteria; Neisseriales; Neisseriaceae.
CGGUCCCAAGGGUAUGGCUGUUCGCCAUUUAAAGUGGUACGUGAGCUGGGUUUAAAACGUCGUGAGACAGUUUGGUCCCUAUCUGCAGUGGGCGUUGGAAGUUUGACGGGGGCUGCUCCUAGUACGAGAGGACCGGAGUGGACGAACCUCUGGUGUACCGGUUGUGACGCCAGUCGCAUCGCCGGGUAGCUAAGUUUGGAAGAGAUAAACGCUGAAAGCAUCUAAGCGUGAAACUCGCCUGAAGAUGAGACUUCCCUAGGGAUAUAAUCCCUCUAAAGAGACGUUCGAGACCAGGACGUUGAUAGGUCGGGUGUGGAAGAGUGGUAACACUUGCAGCUAACCGAUACUAAUUGCUCGUGAGGCUUGACUCUAU